RNAcentral lists this ribosomal RNA (207 nucleotides) under uncultured bacterium. RNAcentral's name for it is "partial 16S ribosomal RNA". It matches the Rfam family "Bacterial small subunit ribosomal RNA", at positions 568 to 774 of the family's 1533-position model. The record is from RNAcentral.
AGUGUAGGCGGAAUUGUAAUUUAGGAGUUUAAUAUACGGGCUUAACCCGUAGUCUGCUCUUAAUACUGCAGUUCUUGAGUAUGGGAGAGGGUGAUGGAAUUCCAGGUGUAGCGGUGGAAUGCGUAGAUAUCUGGAAGAACACCAGUAGCGAAGGCGGUCGCCUGGCCCAAUACUGACGCUGAGGCUCGAAAGCUAGGGGAGCAAACA